UGGGGAAUAUUGCACAAUGGGGGAAACCCUGAUGCAGCCAUGCCGCGUGUGUGAAGAAGGCCUUCGGGUUGUAAAGCACUUUCAGCGAGGAGGAAAGGGGUGAUGCUAAUACCAUCAUUCUGUGACGUUACUCGCAGAAGAAGCACCGGCUAACUCCGUGCCAGCAGCCGCGGUAAUACGGAGGGUGCAAGCGUUAAUCGGAAUUACUGGGCGUAAAGCGCACGCAGGCGGUCAGAUAAGUCAGAUGUGAAAGCCCCGGGCUCAACCUGGGAACUGCAUUUGAAACUGUCUGACUAGAGUCUUGUAGAGGGGGGUAGAAUUCCAGGUGUAGCGGUGAAAUGCGUAGAGAUCUGGAGGAAUACCGGUGGCGAAGGCGGCCCCCUGGACAAAGACUGACGCUCAGGUGCGAAAGCGUGGGGAGCAAACA
Molecule: ribosomal RNA, 427 nt
Filed under: uncultured prokaryote
Description: bacterial SSU rRNA
Rfam family: Bacterial small subunit ribosomal RNA
Source: RNAcentral